AAACAAAAAAAAAACUUAGAAGUAGAAUAAAACCUUGUGAAUAAACAAAUUCUCUAGUGUUGUAGCUUUGGCAGUGAUCUUGAAAAUGGCGAAUCAGCAGCAAGCAUCGAGUAGGCCAUGGAUACUCGAAGUCGUACCUCUUCUAGUCGUCAUACUAAUCGCUGCUCAUGUCCUAGCUUUGGUAUAUUUUCCCUAUCUCUUACUGUGUUUGUGUUUUUUAACUAGUACAUACUGUGAUUUUUUGAGUCAUUUACUGAAUUUGGGUGUAGGUGUACUGGAUUUACCGGCUAGCAACUGAGAAACAGCCUCAGAGGAGAAAAAAGCACUAGCAAUAUGUAGAUUAGAUGAAUUUUCAUUUCGCUUCAGCUUUUGGGAAAAUUCAAGGUACAAAAACCCUAGUAUUUCCUUGUGUUUUCUUAUUCUCCUUUAAGUUUGUGAAACUUUCAAUUGUUCUUUGAAAUUUGAAUUACUCAAAAUAGAAAUUUGAAUUACUCAAGAAUUUGAGUUUUUGAAAAUUAUAUUACGGUUAAAUUAUUGUUGAAUAUUUGUCCUGUUUGUACAAUUAUCACUUGGAAUUUUGUAAAUAUUCAUAGAUUUAUAUGCCAGUAAAAAUAUAGAGAACUUGUAAUAUUGUUAUGGUUAUUAUUUAUAUAUAUUUAACUUAUUUUCAUUUUUCUUAUUUGAUGUGAUGUUGACAUGAGUUGAGCUUAAAUGGAGAAAUAGCGAAAGUAAGGAUUCAUAUUGCCGACCCCAACUUGUUUGGGAUUAAGACAUAGUUGUUGUUGUAGAGAUCACUCUGUGAGGUGUCAAUUCUAUUGGAUGAAGAAAUUUGGUAUUGGGUGGUCGUUUUUUUUUGUUGUUGCUUUCUUUGAGUUGGACUGCCCAUAUUUAUAUUGCCUGAUGUAUAAGAUGGCUGCAAAUGUGAAUGGAUUUUUAUAGCAGUCACGGGAGAGUGAAUUCUUCUUUUCUUUUGCUAUUGAACUUUUUUAAGAGGCACGUGAUGUGAAUGUUAAAUAUGAUAGAGAAGUCCUUGGAGUCAAAUUGGAAUAGACUAAGCAUUGCGGUAAGUUGAAGAAUAGCUGGUAUGUGCAAAGUUUCCAUUCACGUUUGUGUUUUGGUAGUGUGCAACAAAGAAAUAGAAGGUUGUUAUUUGUUAAAGGAAUAUGAAGACUAUUUAAAAUCUAGUGCUUUGAUCUUAAUCCUCUUCUUCUUGAAGGAUAGAAGGAAAGCAAUAACUUAACUGGGUGAGAAGGUAGCAAAUUUCUACUAAAAAGAAACAAUAAAGCAGAGGAUGGAACCGACUCUUACAGGGACCUUAUUUUGGUGAACUUGCGUAUCAAAAUCUUUUGAAGUGAUAAUUUAGUUAAAUUAGGUAAUUGGAGUCAACUUUUGUUAAGGAGAUGAGGUUGGGGGAAGUCCUGUGCAAUCUUCUAAGGGGGUAAGGUGGAAAACCUUCUCUAAGAGUGAAAGCCUUUUUUUCUCCUUUGAUGUGGCUUCAUACUAAGCUAGGAUGCCAUGGAACUGUAUGAAGAAUGUUUUUAUACUUAGCGGAAAGUGAUCGCUUCAUUGCUUAAAGCUAUAGAUUGAUGUGAAGCAUGAGCUUAUCACUUAUUAUGUGUGGAGUUAUGUGACUUAGAGUGGUGCAAGGCAAUUUGAGCAAGAAUUACUCGCCGUCUUUUUUCUUCUGUUUCAGCAUUUGUUUAGAGGUGAUAUUCUUAUAACUGAUGGUGUUGAAGAAGUGCAACAGUUUGUGUAAGAAUCUUGAACUCUGAUACUAAUAUUGAUGUAGCACCAAAAGGAAGGAGGGAGAACAAGGAGACAAAUACAGAGAGAUAGUGAUUGAGAUAAGGAAUCAAAUCAUAAAAUAUAAUUUAUCAAAUGAAGUGGUUCAUCAAACUGAAAGGAGGGUCUCAGGGUCCUAUUUAUAUAUAGGGAACAUUGUACAAGGUAGAAUCCUAAUUCAGUAGGAACUUUAUCUCUAAAUAAGAGAUAAAAAUAAAAUCAAAGAUAGAUACUAUCAAUCUUAUUUACUAACCUUUUUCAUGUUUCUGAAGAAAAAAGAAGAUAACGGUAAAAUAAAACAAGGGAUAAUGAUAAAGAUGUGAAGUAAAAACUAAGCUAGCUAAUGAUAAAUAUAAGAUCUACUCUAAAAAGACAAUAAAUUCAUCUAAGAUCAAUAAUAAAAUCUUCCAAAUCUUUUAGUAUGUACAUCAGUUGACUUCAACUAUUCAUUUCUAAGGGGUUCUGGUGAUUAGAGGCUCUUAAAUGGUGUUAUGUGCAAGAAGUUGUGGUCUUCUGCCGAAGUCAAUGAUUUAUUUCCUGGCUUACCUGCUAAUGAUAAAAGAACCCUUAAAACUUUGCAAGUCUGGUGGAUUUCUGGUGCAUUUAGUGGGAGUGUAGUGGAAAAAAUAAUCUUAAGAGCAUUUUAUGUCUCCAGUAAUGUUUAGGAUAGGAUAGUUUUGAAAGAUCAGGUGUUUUGGUGAUUAAGUGUUAGAUGAUCUCCAGUGGGAUUGCUGAGCAUUCCAUACUUGAGAACAUCAGGUCUUACUGUCUCUUUUUCCGUUUACUCUAAGUACUUCUCUCAGAAGUCCUGCUGACUGGUGGCAAAACUUUUAGCGUACAUAGAUGGUUCGAUAAAAUUAUUAGGGAUUAAGUGAAGAAGGUAAUACCUUUAUAUAUGAUUACAAAUUAUUAUUAUGGCUUGAAAUAUCAUGCUUAUAUAAUAUAAAGAUGGAUACUUUUGCAUUUAUCUGGUGAUGAUUGGUGAUACCUUGACGGAGCUUCGCUUAAAAAAGCCAUGAUCUAGGAUUGCUGGGAUGUCAUUCGGAAUUUCCAGCUACAGAGCAUAAGCCAGAAAAGGUCUAUUUAUUUAUUUAUUUAUUUAUUUAUUUUCUUUUCUUUUGGGAGUGGUAUGUGGGGUUGAAAUUUGUGAGAUUGUUAUAUUGAUGAUUGUUAGAAAAACUUGACGGACUUCACUGAGUAAGAGUAUCAACUACUAGCAUGCUGUUAAAGUAUCUGAACAUGAGAUUUAAGAAUGGAGAUUAAAAGAUAUAGAACAUUCUAGCAAACAGAGGCUAACUUUAGAGAACCCUACAUCAAAUUCAAAAUACUACUGCUUCCUUUAGUUUAACAAUUUGUAUCCCAUAUUGGUGCGUAAGGGCAACCGGAGAGUUUUAUAAAGGUCUUGAAACUCCACCUAUUGACUUAACAUUUUGGAUUGGAUGCUCAAAUUGUUUCACAUGAUAUUAAUGCCAAUUCCACUCGUAAAUCCACAUGGAAGUCCAUGUAUGAAUACCAUAUAGGGAAGGGUGUUGAACUAUAUAAUAUCUCACAUCAGGGAUAAGCGAUUCAGAGGAGUUUAUAAAGGUUUGAGCUACUCAACUGGAGGUUUGAGUUGCAUGUUCAAUUCUUUCCCUUUUUGUAGAAAAGAAAAUAAAGAAAUAAAAGUAUCCCCUCUCUAAUUGUUUAAGUAGAAGUCUUGAGUUCGAUCCUUAUCUUCACCCAGUGAUAAAAGUAUUUACAUGUUCUUGGUCCAAGAGAAAGAAUUAGAUAUUUAGACCCACAUGUGAGGUAGGGUGUUGUAGUCUUGUAGACAUAAAGUAAAUAAUUAUAAACACCUCUUCUCUGAAAUGGGUCACACGAAUCAACAACUCUCGGAUGGAAUAAUCACAUUUAUUUAUCAUUUCUGGAUAAUCUCCAAUAAUCUAAAAAGCAAAGUUAUAACAGUUUAAUGAGGUGACCAAAGUUAGAUAUUGUACAUUCAUUUCUGACGUGCGUUGCAUCUACACCAUCCAUCGUUUGAUAACUGAUUUUCUUGUAUGCAGUGAUUUUAUCAGAUACUGAAUGGUCAUGUUUGUGGUUAUUCAGGUUGAUCUUUGAUUACUUUGAGGAGCUAUAUCUUGACUUUGAUGCAUGCUGUUCUCUAUCUUUUAUAAUGUUCCCUUCUGUUAACUCUGAACUCAUCAGUUAACUACUCCAGAAGGAGCAUAUCUAUUACCAAUUCUAUCGUGCAUUGCAUUGUUGUUGUAGAACAUUUUGUCUGAGUUUUCGAGUAUAAAGACUAAAGAGUCAAAGCCUCUGCAUCUUACAAGAUAUCUCAGGCUAUUACAAGUCCUAUUUUGAAAAGUAAUUGUCGUUCAUGCUGUCAAACGUUAUGUUCCUCUUUUACUUCUCAGCUUUUGUUUUUCAGUUUCGCUUUCUGAUGACUGAGAAUUUGUUUUUGUUUGUUAGUAGGGAUUCAUUCUAUACCGGUUCAGAAGCAAGCUUUACACUCAAGGCUUUGGUGAUUGGUCAGCCCUCUUUGCCUAAGCAUACACGUGUCCUCUUUUUCUCCAUGAAUUUGUGUGCAAUUAUGCUGGAAAAGUUUGGGAUUUGUUACAUGUUAAUGGAUCGCGUUAAUCACUUGCCAUUGUUGAGAAACUUCUACAUUCUUCUAUUAACGUCAGUGCUGUGCAUUUAUACCCCAAGUUUGUAAUUCUUCUACAGGAUUUUCAUCACUAAUCCUCUUUUGGUGUGUGUGCUUUGUCAACAGUCUUUGCUAGAGCCUGUCAUACAGUUGUAGUUUCUUAUGCAUAGGGAACUUGAGUCAUACAUGUAAAGUUGAUCUAGUAUGAAAAUUGCAACAGAAGUUUGAGGAUUAUUAGGUGUAAUUGGCUGUUUGAGUGAGUUAUAUAAACUUGUGUAAAGUGGACUGAUGUAGACAGAAAAGAUUUUGUCAACCAAAAUUUACUAAACAUUGGUCAUAUUUCAGUCCAUUUUAAUCUUUCAAA
RNAcentral lists this long non-coding RNA (4769 nucleotides) under Nicotiana tabacum (common tobacco). Its description in RNAcentral is "long non-coding RNA (NTAB_LNC002086)". Lineage: Eukaryota; Viridiplantae; Streptophyta; Magnoliopsida; Solanales; Solanaceae. The record is from RNAcentral.